CUGCAGCCCGAGUGGCAAUCGUUUUUAUUGGGUCUAAAGCGUUCGUAGCCGGUCUGACUAAUCUUUUGUGAAAUCGAUAAACUUAACUUAUCGGCGUGCAAGAGACACUAUCAGACUAGGGACCGGGAGGAGCAUGAGGUAUUCUAGGGUGAGCGGUAAAAUGCUGUAAUCCUUAGAGGACCACCUGUGGCGAAGGCGUCAUGCCAGAACGGAUCCGACGGUGAGGAACGAAAGCUAGGGGAGCAAAACGGAUUAGAUACCCGCGUAGUCC
This 271-nucleotide ribosomal RNA is filed under the name uncultured archaeon. RNAcentral's name for it is "partial 16S ribosomal RNA". It matches the Rfam family "Archaeal small subunit ribosomal RNA", at positions 477 to 747 of the family's 1478-position model. The record is from RNAcentral.